Coregonus clupeaformis (lake whitefish) is the source of this 1301-nucleotide long non-coding RNA. RefSeq lists it as uncharacterized. The transcript is spliced from 4 exons. Lineage: Eukaryota; Metazoa; Chordata; Actinopteri; Salmoniformes; Salmonidae. The record is from RefSeq and is a predicted model, not a curated record.
GCUAUUUGAGGCCUCUGUAUUCGUCAGCAGUAUGUCUAAGAAGCAUAUAAAAAUGUUGGUGGUUCCCCCAGCAACAUUGCAAAGCCAUCUGACAUGUAUUGAGUGGGGAGUGGGGUGUGGUGUGUGGUGGACAACUCUUCUCCAGUCAGUUACACAGGACGGGGUGGCAGUGAGCAGACUGGAUGUUCUGUCUCUCAGGAGCCACAGAGACGUUUGGUGGUCCUGGGAACAUUGUCGUCUCUGUAGAUCGACGGAAUUUCUCCACCUGCCACUGGGCUUUUCAGCACAAUGGUAAGAUUCAGCUCUCGGGCAUGCCUCUCCAUGCCACAGUGUCAGUGUGAGCCACAGCCGGGUCCUGGGGUUCCGGGGGGGUCCUGGGGGUACUGGGGACCAGUCCGGCAGAGGACCAGCCAACCAGCAGGGAAGGCAGUGUGAAGACUGUGAGAUGUGUUUCUGGUGUAGGGAAGUCCAACAUAAUCCUCAUAACAACAGGUAUGACAGUGCAAACGGAAGGUUUGUGUUUGCCUCUUUCGAAUCCGAGUGUGUCUCCUUACUCGUCUCUAGUAUACAGUCCCUUUACAAGUCAGAAUGUUGAAUAAACUUCAUUUGAACUUACUCUACCUGUUUGCUGCUGAUUUUGUCCUUCUGCCGUUGAAAAUUUUAGCCAAAAUAUCCACAGGAAACUAUUAUUAAACCGACUUCAAAACGCAGGUCUCCUUGUGUGGCUCUCACAAUUUGUUUGAGGCACAUGCACAAGACGUAAGUGUAUACUAAGUCUUGCAGGUGUUUACAUGGUUUUGCACAUGUCAGGUGAUAGAAUUCUCAAUGGCAAUACCAGUGUUUUGAAAAGUCGGUUUAAUAAUCCUGUGGAUAUUUUUUCUCAAAUUUGUAGAUGCAUAAGGACCAACAGCACAGACAACCGGUAGACAACCGGUAGUUCAAAUGACAUUUUAUUCAACAUUCUGGCUUGUAGAUCUCGUGAGAGUACAUUUUCCAGACAAAUGUAUAGCAUUGUCUCAGACUGUGUACCCAGAGGUAUCACAGUCUGAUUUAUUAGGCAAGAUUUGUGUAUAACGAAUUAUUCCUAAUGCUUGGAGAAAAGUGUAUAGCACUGAGCAGAAAGGAUGUAUCUCUGUUGAUGGGCCCUGUCUGAAAUGAUAUCCUUAGCCUUGGGUCUGCAGAGACCAUACAUACUUAGGAUGAACUGUAUGUAAUGUAUGCACAUAUUCAUAUUUACAUUUACAUUUACAUCAUUUAGCAGACGCUCUUAUCCAGAGCGACUUACAAAUUGGUGCAUUCAA